This 1178-nucleotide long non-coding RNA is filed under the name Setaria italica (foxtail millet). Its description in RNAcentral is "long non-coding RNA (SITA_LNC003432)". The record is from RNAcentral. Lineage: Eukaryota; Viridiplantae; Streptophyta; Magnoliopsida; Poales; Poaceae.
GAAAAUUUAACCUUUUAAAUUUUCAGACGACCAUAUUAAUGAAAUAUUUUUUCUAGAAUACGCCGAGCUGUGUAACAUUGCAUAUAAUAGGUAGAUUUUGAAAUCCAACACAAAUAACGCACAUCCAACACACCGCUAAACAGCCUUCUCAAGUUACAUUCGCACCACAUGAAUAUGAGCACGACCAAACACAAACACCAGCAAUUACAUUCGCGCCACAGGGAUAUGAGAACGGCCAAGACUUGCGGAAGAGGGAGAGGGAGAGUGCGGGGCGACCUGAGCGGAACACCGCCGCGCGCCCUAUAGCCCCUGUGCUCGCCACCUUGCCACCGUAGGAGUGUGCCGUCGGAAACUCGCAUGGGUGCAAGGACGGCGGCGGUGAGGCCUCCUUUCCGCACAUCCUUCCUCUCUCGGAGCCAUCGUUCCCCAUCGGAAACCCUAGCGCCGCCACCCCUUCCCCCUCCUCCUUCCCAUCUCGCUGUCGCCGGAGCUGGCCCGCGCAGAUGUCCGUGCGGUAGCUAGGAGGGCGGCGGCGGGGCGGAAUCCUCCGAUUCGGGCUGUUCUUGCCCGGAUCUGGCGAGUUGCGGCAGCAGCGGCAGGCGUGUGACCUAUGGUGGCAUCGGCGGCGGUCGCACGGAGCGAGGUGGCCCGGUCGACGGCGGCCCGCAGUGGUCGCGCGCGGGCGAGGUGGCCUGCGGUGACGUCGGCGACGGCCCUAUGGGGGCGGUGGGCUGCUGCGGCAGCGUUGGCGACGGCCGCACGGGGACGACGAGAGAAGAUUAGUAAAGUUAGUUUGGUUUAGUAGAGUAGCUCAAGCUUUUUAGUAGAGAUAUGUGUGAAACAAUCAGUAGAGUUUAUGAGGAUCAUUUAGUAGAGUUAGUUUUUGUUUAGUAGAGUUAGCUCAGAUACGAGAGUGCUAAACUUGCAAACUGGCUACUCAGCAUCCGGAUCAUUUGUGUCCUUAUUAAGCUUUCUAAUAAAGUCAGGUGGAUACCUUGAUUAAAAAAAAAAAGAACGGCCCAAAGUGAGAGGACAAAAGGUGAAGUUGCUGCUAGCCGCAGCGCACACUACCCCAGCCAUACCAUACCCCAAGGUUGAGUUUUUUUCCCCGUGUUUUAUAUCAGCCAUGCCCCCAACAAACUUGAGCUUUUCCCCUGUGUUUCGAUAUCAGCCAUGCC